Molecule: ribosomal RNA, 2923 nt
Filed under: Klebsiella pneumoniae
Lineage: Bacteria; Pseudomonadati; Pseudomonadota; Gammaproteobacteria; Enterobacterales; Enterobacteriaceae
Description: 23S ribosomal RNA
Rfam family: Bacterial large subunit ribosomal RNA
Source: RNAcentral
GGGUUGUGAGGUUAAGCGACUAAGCGUACACGGUGGAUGCCCUGGCAGUCAGAGGCGAUGAAGGACGUGCUAAUCUGCGAAAAGCGUCGGUAAGGUGAUAUGAACCGUUAUAACCGGCGAUGUCCGAAUGGGGAAACCCAGUGCAAUUCGUUGCACUAUCGUUAACUGAAUACAUAGGUUAACGAGGCGAACCGGGGGAACUGAAACAUCUAAGUACCCCGAGGAAAAGAAAUCAACCGAGAUUCCCCCAGUAGCGGCGAGCGAACGGGGAGCAGCCCAGAGUCUGAAUCAGCUUGUGUGUUAGUGGAACGGUCUGGAAAGUCCGACGGUACAGGGUGAUAGUCCCGUACACCAAAAUGCACAGGCUGUGAACUCGAAGAGUAGGGCGGGACACGUGGUAUCCUGUCUGAAUAUGGGGGGACCAUCCUCCAAGGCUAAAUACUCCUGACUGACCGAUAGUGAACCAGUACCGUGAGGGAAAGGCGAAAAGAACCCCGGCGAGGGGAGUGAAAAAGAACCUGAAACCGUGUACGUACAAGCAGUGGGAGCACCUUCGGGUGUGACUGCGUACCUUUUGUAUAAUGGGUCAGCGACUUAUAUUCUGUAGCAAGGUUAACCGUAUAGGGGAGCCGCAGGGAAACCGAGUCUUAACUGGGCGUUAAGUUGCAGGGUAUAGACCCGAAACCCGGUGAUCUAGCCAUGGGCAGGUUGAAGGUUGGGUAACACUAACUGGAGGACCGAACCGACUAAUGUUGAAAAAUUAGCGGAUGACUUGUGGCUGGGGGUGAAAGGCCAAUCAAACCGGGAGAUAGCUGGUUCUCCCCGAAAGCUAUUUAGGUAGCGCCUCGUGAAUUCAUCUUCGGGGGUAGAGCACUGUUUCGGCUAGGGGGUCAUCCCGACUUACCAACCCGAUGCAAACUACGAAUACCGAAGAAUGUUAUCACGGGAGACACACGGCGGGUGCUAACGUCCGUCGUGAAGAGGGAAACAACCCAGACCGCCAGCUAAGGUCCCAAAGUCAUGGUUAAGUGGGAAACGAUGUGGGAAGGCACAGACAGCCAGGAUGUUGGCUUAGAAGCAGCCAUCAUUUAAAGAAAGCGUAAUAGCUCACUGGUCGAGUCGGCCUGCGCGGAAGAUGUAACGGGGCUAAACCAUGCACCGAAGCUGCGGCAGCGACACUAUGUGUUGUUGGGUAGGGGAGCGUUCUGUAAGCCUGCGAAGGUGACCUGUGAGGGUUGCUGGAGGUAUCAGAAGUGCGAAUGCUGACAUAAGUAACGAUAAAGCGGGUGAAAAGCCCGCUCGCCGGAAGACCAAGGGUUCCUGUCCAACGUUAAUCGGGGCAGGGUGAGUCGACCCCUAAGGCGAGGCCGAAAGGCGUAGUCGAUGGGAAACAGGUUAAUAUUCCUGUACUUGGUGUUACUGCGAAGGGGGGACGGAGAAGGCUAUGUUAGCCGGGCGACGGUUGUCCCGGUUUAAGCAUGUAGGCUGGUUGUCCAGGCAAAUCCGGAUAAUCAAGGCUGAGGUGUGAUGACGAGGCACUACGGUGCUGAAGUAACAAAUGCCCUGCUUCCAGGAAAAGCCUCUAAGCAUCAGGUAACAUCAAAUCGUACCCCAAACCGACACAGGUGGUCAGGUAGAGAAUACCAAGGCGCUUGAGAGAACUCGGGUGAAGGAACUAGGCAAAAUGGUGCCGUAACUUCGGGAGAAGGCACGCUGGUGUGUAGGUGAAGCCCCUGCGGGUGGAGCUGAGACCAGUCGAAGAUACCAGCUGGCUGCAACUGUUUAUUAAAAACACAGCACUGUGCAAACACGAAAGUGGACGUAUACGGUGUGACGCCUGCCCGGUGCCGGAAGGUUAAUUGAUGGGGUUAUCCGUAAGGAGAAGCUCUUGAUCGAAGCCCCGGUAAACGGCGGCCGUAACUAUAACGGUCCUAAGGUAGCGAAAUUCCUUGUCGGGUAAGUUCCGACCUGCACGAAUGGCGUAAUGAUGGCCAGGCUGUCUCCACCCGAGACUCAGUGAAAUUGAACUCGCUGUGAAGAUGCAGUGUACCCGCGGCAAGACGGAAAGACCCCGUGAACCUUUACUAUAGCUUGACACUGAACAUUGAGCCUUGAUGUGUAGGAUAGGUGGGAGGCUUUGAAGCGUGGACGCCAGUCUGCGUGGAGCCAACCUUGAAAUACCACCCUUUAAUGUUUGAUGUUCUAACGUUGGCCCCUUACCGGGGUUGCGGACAGUGUCUGGUGGGUAGUUUGACUGGGGCGGUCUCCUCCCAAAGCGUAACGGAGGAGCACGAAGGUUAGCUAAUCCUGGUCGGACAUCAGGAGGUUAGUGCAAUGGCAUAAGCUAGCUUGACUGCGAGCGUGACGGCGCGAGCAGGUGCGAAAGCAGGUCAUAGUGAUCCGGUGGUUCUGAAUGGAAGGGCCAUCGCUCAACGGAUAAAAGGUACUCCGGGGAUAACAGGCUGAUACCGCCCAAGAGUUCAUAUCGACGGCGGUGUUUGGCACCUCGAUGUCGGCUCAUCACAUCCUGGGGCUGAAGUAGGUCCCAAGGGUAUGGCUGUUCGCCAUUUAAAGUGGUACGCGAGCUGGGUUUAGAACGUCGUGAGACAGUUCGGUCCCUAUCUGCCGUGGGCGCUGGAGAAUUGAGGGGGGCUGCUCCUAGUACGAGAGGACCGGAGUGGACGCAUCACUGGUGUUCGGGUUGUCAUGCCAAUGGCACUGCCCGGUAGCUAAAUGCGGAAGAGAUAAGUGCUGAAAGCAUCUAAGCACGAAACUUGCCCCGAGAUGAGUUCUCCCUGAGACUAUAAGUCUCCUGAAGGAACGUUAAAGACGAUGACGUUGAUAGGCCGGGUGUGUAAGCGCAGCGAUGCGUUGAGCUAACCGGUACUAAUGAACCGUGAGGCUUAACCUUACAACGCCGAAG